CCUACGGGAGGCAGCAGUGGGGAAUUUUGGACAAUGGGCGCAAGCCUGAUCCAGCCAUUCCGCGUGAGUGAAGAAGGCCUUCGGGUUGUAAAGCUCUUUCGGCAAGGGAAGAAACGAUCCUGGCCAAUACCUGGGAUUAAUGACGGUACCUGAAGAAGAAGCACCGGCUAACUACGUGCCAGCAGCCGCGGUAAUACGUAGGGUGCGAGCGUUAAUCGGAAUUACUGGGCGUAAAGCGUGCGCAGGCGGUUUUUCAAGUCUGAUGUGAAAGCCCCGGGCUUAACCUGGGAACUGCGUUGGAAACUGAAAGACUAGAGUGCGGCAGAGGGGGGUAGAAUUCCACGUGUAGCAGUGAAAUGCGUAGAUAUGUGGAGGAAUACCGAUGGCGAAGGCAGCCCCCUGGGUCGACACUGACGCUCAUGCACGANAGCGUGGGUAGCAAACAGGAUUAGAUACCCUGGUAGUCCACGCCCUAAACGAUGUCAACUAGUUGUUGGGGAAGGGAGACCUCCUUAGUAACGCAGCUAACGCGUGAAGUUGACCGCCUGGGGAGUACGGUCGCAAGAUUAAAACUCAAAGGAAUUGACGGGGGCCCGCACAAGCGGUGGAUUAUGUGGAUUAAUUCGAU
Molecule: ribosomal RNA, 628 nt
Filed under: uncultured bacterium
Lineage: Bacteria
Description: bacterial SSU rRNA
Rfam family: Bacterial small subunit ribosomal RNA
Source: RNAcentral